CAGCUAUGCUAGGCCAUCUGGAUUUAUCUGAAUAGCAGGCAUUUCAAACUCAGGCUGUGCAUGCUUGGCCCUGAGUUGCAGUUAUUUGUGAAUUCAUUUUAUCUGAUACCACGGGCUGGAGCCUUAAACAACAAAUAUUACCCACAGUUGGGAGGCUGGGAAGUCCAAGAUCACAUUAUCAGCAGAUUCAGUGUCUGGACCGUCACGAGCGAGAGUGAAGGAGCUCCCCACACCAGCGACUGCCCAGGGCCAUGCUGCGAGGAGACCCCGACCUCACCCUCCUCAGGCACAUCUGGCUUUGGCUCCUUUCCUUUUUUCCCCCCUUGUUUCUUUUUUUUUAAACUUUGAUGCUUUUAAGAAUAAUUUUACUGGCACAUGGGUGAUUUAUAACGUUGUACUGGUUUCCUUUGGAAAAUGUCCCCUUCUCCUCACAGCCACAGAGCCCCUGCUAGGGGCGCCGGUGGAGGCUGCUUCCUGCUGGGGCAGGAGCCCCAAGAGGGCAGCCUGCUCCCCAGGCCAGGGUGCUGGGGGCACGGGGCCCAGACCUACUCAGCCUGCCUCCCUCUUUGCUGGUGCUGAGGGCUGCGGGGGCGGGGCUCACCCAGGGCUGUGGAAGCUGAAGGGGAGUAGAUUUAUCACAGGAAUAGGGCCCCUACACCUGAGAAGCCUCUACCUGCUUCAGAGCAGCAGCCACCCCAGUGCACGGAGCUCGCAGACCACGCCAAGCUGUGCCUUCUGGUCCCACUGAGUGCAGCUCAUGUCACACCCCACCUGUCGGAUGUCACAGCAGAGCCUCCCAGGACAUGUCAUCCAGGCAGGGAGAGGGGGAUGCCCGCGCCCUCACCCAGGCCCAGGCACCCUUUCUCAGGCCCAGGCACCCUUUCUCAGGCUGAGGUCCAUUGAUAAUCUGGGAGACCCUUUCCAGGUGUGACUCUGCAGAGCCUGGGCCAGUGCAGACCAGGUUCCAGAAAGCCACAUGGGGCAGAGAGACCAUCCUAAGAGCCGGUCACAGGCUGUAAGCUGUCAUCUUGGUUUAGAUGCCAGUGUUUUCUGUACUGUCUGCUGUCCCAGGGCCCACCUUGCCAAGCUCCUUGCUCUACACAUGCCCAAAUGGAUCAGUGGUCACAUUCGUGCACACUCCCAACAAUAGCACCAGCUGGCACUGUGGCGAAGGCUAAAAAAAUAUACUGGCAAUUCAAAAACACUGACAUGUCUAUCGCUCGAGUACCAUCACCCUUGGGAGAGCAACUCUUAUCCUCUGUGAGCCCUGGGGUUUCAGUGGUCUGGCCCAUGGGGCCCUGCCAGGGCCGAACCUCAUUUC
Long non-coding RNA from Bos taurus (domestic cattle), 1321 nucleotides. The record is from Ensembl. Lineage: Eukaryota; Metazoa; Chordata; Mammalia; Artiodactyla; Bovidae.